UGUAGAUGUUCAAUUUUUGUUCUUAUUUGUUUUUUUUACUCUAUUUUUAAACUAGGGCUUUUUAAUUUGGGGAUACUUUACUCGAUUUCAAAUUACGGUUUUUUAAUCGAUUAUGAAAUUUGGGUUUUGGAUUUAGGGUUUUUUUUACUGGUUGGAACUAAGGUUUAAGAAGUUUUACAAUAAGGUCUUUAUAGUUGUUCAUAUUUUUUUUUUGAAAUGAUAUCCAUUCUGUUACUGAAGAUGAUAUUUAUUUUGUUAGUGAAAGGUUGUAUCCAUGUCCCUGUUUCAGAAAUGUUUUGAUAUGGCCUAGUUUGGGGUCACGUACGUGUUUUCAUGUCCGACAUUCAUAAUCAUGUAUCUUUAACACUUUACAUGCAUCUUAUGUUGUCCCGGUGCGCUAAAACUUCACAACUUUAGCUUUUUGGAAGACUAAUCUGACUAAUCUGGGGACUGGGUACUUGAGCUAGUUUCACUAGUAUUACUCCUAUGCUAUCAACUGUAAUACCAGGGGUUCAAUCUGCAGCAGACACGGCCAAUACAAUGAAGCUGAUACUGAACAAAAUACACAGGAAUCAUUCCUACCCUAAAGAGAUAAUCAGACAAUGGUUAUCUCUAUCUUUGACUGACUUUAUAUUUUAUUUUACAUGUAUAAUAUUGGUCUCUGAUUCUCGAGGUUGGAUUUACAGGCCGCAGAGAUUGAGAAGCGUCUAGCUCAAGAAACGAAGGCUGAGAAUCAUAAUUAGAAACUACCACUGCUUGGGUGCAUUUGAAAGGGUCUUGUGGUACCAGCUGAAAGGAAUGGCUCAAGAUGCUUCAAAUUGCAUUAAGUCUACAUAGCCAUCUCUUUUGACCACUUGGUGGAGUCUAAACCAGAUUGGAAUGAAACAAAAUUCUUUAUAAAAUGGAAGGGGCUGUCGUAUUGACACUGCCAGUGGAAAUCAUUUUCAGAUCUCCAAAAUGUUGAGGUCCAUGAUGUGCGCAAGGAAAUGGAGUUAAAUCCCUCUUUUUUGGUGUCUGUUGAUCUGUUACCAUCUUAUGAUUCUUAUCUAAGUUUAUGACUUUUUAUCCAAAUGGAAUUACCUGGUUGAACAUAUUUUUGCUGGUAGAGUCAAAGGUGGUUCAGAUGAUACUGAGAGAAUAUCCUAUGCUGAAGCGACCUGCUUAGUGGGAUCAAAAAGGUGGUGAACUACUCCAAAAGAGUGAUGGAGGAAAGGAGAUACAGAAUGACUCUGAGGUUUAAAAAAGGAACCUCCUGCAUUGAUAAGAAUUUUUAUGUGUACCCUGCAAGAGCUAUCUUUCCAUACUGUCAAGCACUAGAGAAGUUAGCUCCCUAUAGUUGAUCUCCACUUUUCUCAUGUCAGGUUUUAAACUUGGGGAUGUGAAACAUACAUCAGAAGCAAUAGUGAAGAAGUACAAUGUUGUAGGCUGACUUGUGAAGUUGAAGGACUAACUGUGGUGAAAUAACCCAGGUUAGUGAACUAGAUAUAAGUUGGCAAAAGGCUUCCAGGUGCAUCCGCAAAACUUAAACGCAUGCAAAAUUCUCAAACGGUAGAAGAUAACGGAGAAGAACAUGAAGAGCAUGGAACCCAAGAAGAAGAGGCUGUUGAUGUCGAUGUUGAUUCUACAGAUGGCGCUAUUCUUGUCAACAGUAAUGAAGUUGAAGAAGAGUGGGAUACAACUAAUGAAGGAACCUUAUCAUCCUAAAAGCAAUUGGUUUGGCUAAAUAGGUCGCAGAUAUGAGCAGUAAGUGCGACUAUUUACAAGGCUGGUUAUGAAGCAACAAGAAGCUAUACUUGUUUGAGCAUGUAGGUAAUGAAUGUUGAGCUUGUCUCCAGUCUUGUGCCUUUAAGAUUGUAUCUACUACUGCUAUUACACAUUACAUUACAACUGCAACUGCAAAA
Molecule: long non-coding RNA, 1901 nt
Organism: Papaver somniferum (opium poppy)
Lineage: Eukaryota; Viridiplantae; Streptophyta; Magnoliopsida; Ranunculales; Papaveraceae
Exons: 10
Source: RefSeq, a predicted model, not a curated record